GAUGAACGCUGGCGGCGUGCCUAAUACAUGCAAGUCGAGCGAACGGACGAUAAGCUUGCUUCUCUGAUGUUAGCGGCGGACGGGUGAUUAACACGUGUAUAACCUACCUAUAAUACUGGUAUAACUUCGGGAAACCGUAGCUAAUACCGGAUAAUAUUUUGAACCGCAUUGUUCAAAAGUGAAAGACGGUCUUUCUGUCACUUAUAGAUGGAUCCGCGCUGCAUUAGCUAGUUGGUAAGGUAACGGCUUACCAAGGCAACGAUGCAUAGCCGACCUGAGAGGGUGAGCGGCCACACUGAGACUGAGACACGGUCCAGAGUGCUACGGGAGGCAGCAGGAGGGAAUCUUCCGCAAUGGGUGAAAGCCUGACGGAGCAACGCCGAGUGAGUAAUGAAGGUCUUCGGAUCGUAAAACUCUGUUAUUGGGGAAGAACAUAUGUGUAAGUAACUGUGAACAUCUUGACGGUAACUAAGCAGAAAGCCACGGCUAACUACGUG
RNAcentral lists this ribosomal RNA (497 nucleotides) under uncultured bacterium. RNAcentral describes it as "partial 16S ribosomal RNA". It matches the Rfam family "Bacterial small subunit ribosomal RNA", at positions 28 to 507 of the family's 1533-position model. The record is from RNAcentral.